RNAcentral lists this transfer RNA (74 nucleotides) under Nitrospirota bacterium. RNAcentral describes it as "tRNA-Gln". It matches the Rfam family "tRNA". Rfam says of the family: Transfer RNA (tRNA) molecules are approximately 80 nucleotides in length. Their secondary structure includes four short double-helical elements and three loops (D, anti-codon, and T loops). Lineage: Bacteria; Pseudomonadati; Nitrospirota. The record is from RNAcentral.
UGGGGCGUCGCCAAGCGGUAAGGCACUGGGUUCUGGCCCCAGCAUCGGGGGUUCGAAUCCUCCCGCCCCAGCCA